RNAcentral lists this microRNA precursor (100 nucleotides) under Marmota monax (woodchuck). Lineage: Eukaryota; Metazoa; Chordata; Mammalia; Rodentia; Sciuridae. The record is from RNAcentral.
AAUUCAAUUGUUGGAUUAUAUGAUGAGUAUGCUCAGUUUUACAAUAAACCCCUGAAGUGUCUUCCAAAGUGGCUGUAACAUUUGCAUUCCCAUCAGCAAU